RNAcentral lists this long non-coding RNA (895 nucleotides) under Equus caballus (horse). RNAcentral describes it as "lncRNA (ENSECAG00000055886.1)". The record is from RNAcentral. Lineage: Eukaryota; Metazoa; Chordata; Mammalia; Perissodactyla; Equidae.
ACUUUCUUUCCCUUCUUUAUUCCCCUCUUUUAUAGGCCAACAGAGCAAAUCUUUCUGUGUAGAAAACCCUCCAUGCCUUGUGGACACAAUAUGUUCUUGUUUAUUGCCUAAAAGUAACAAAAAGGCUUUAUGCAGAUUAAAAAGUCCAAGAUCUAGAAAAACUAACAAUUUCGCACCAAAUUCUGCUAUUGUUCAAGGUUCUAGCUAUAGUUAUUCUACUAGGUUUAAAAUGUGCAUUGUAAGUCUUUGCUGUGAUGAUACUUGGGAGUUUUUUCUUAAAGGUUGAGCAAUUUGAGUAGAUAAAAGUGUAUCAAGGUGUUUGGGGACAGAGAAUGAAUAUUAGCAAUGACAAAUUUGAUUGCAAGAAAUUGAACCACGAUUCAACCUAACUUAGUGAAAAACCACUGGAGUAUCUCCUGGACUCCGAGGACAGAGAGGCAGCUGGAUUUCCAGAACAGAACUACGCUCUGCAGUUCUGUUGGAAAAGUUCCAGGCAAGGGACCAAGUGGCCAAGCUUGAUGAUCAAUUCCACAGAGCCAGCACUAGGACAAUAAACCACGCUUUGCUGGAGUUGAUCCCCCUGCUUGCAAUAUGGAUUCUUCUCCCACUUGAAGAACUCACUCCUCCUGUCUGCCCUUUUACCAUCCUCUCCAUACAGGAAGCCUUUCUAAACCAACGCCUGGCUGAUCCUUCUCUUCCCUCUCAAAGAACCUGGUUUUUAGUCCAAGAUCUAUUUCUAUUGCACUGCAUGAUGCAGGGCAAAUAACCUCACUCACUUUGGUCUCAGUUUCCUUAUUUCUAAAAUGAAGGGGUUAUAGCAUUUUAUUGAUCUUUAAUUUGUUUUUAGCAGCCAAAUUCUCUUAUUUUAUAAAUAAAGUUAUUUUAUAAAGUCUAA